ACCGCGGUUGCCAGGACGCGGCACUGGUGCGGGCUCGCCCGCCGCGCGGCCAGCGCGGCCGCGGCCGGUUCGAAACCCAGUCGUAGUUCC
Molecule: transfer RNA, 90 nt
Filed under: Mycolicibacterium smegmatis
Lineage: Bacteria; Bacillati; Actinomycetota; Actinomycetes; Mycobacteriales; Mycobacteriaceae
Also listed under: 1 other name
Description: tRNA-Ala(cgc)
Source: RNAcentral